Ixodes scapularis (black-legged tick) is the source of this 82-nucleotide non-coding RNA. Lineage: Eukaryota; Metazoa; Arthropoda; Arachnida; Ixodida; Ixodidae. The record is from Rfam.
GCAGUCGUGGCCGAGUAAUUAAGGCGAUGGACUAGAAAUCCAUUGGGGACUCACCUCACAGGUUCAAAUCCUGUUGACUGUG